GCGUCGAUGGUGCAUGAAUUCAACACACGCUCCUGGAAAGAGUGAGAUCUGGGUUCGAAUCCCAACUGACGCA
Non-coding RNA from Parelaphostrongylus tenuis, 73 nucleotides. The record is from the annotation of a GenBank genome assembly. NCBI's taxonomy places the organism in Eukaryota, Metazoa, Nematoda, Chromadorea, Rhabditida, Metastrongylidae.